UUUUUCAGAGAGUGCGCUAACGCAUGAAAUCAGCAGCCUAAAGACUACGGCCGCAAGGCUAAAAUUUAAAGGAAUUGACGGGGGCUUACACAAGCGGUGGAGCAUGUGGUUUAAUUCGAAACAACGCGCAGAACCUUACCAAUCCUUGCAAUAUACAGAAAGCGAAGGUUAUGCUUUGUAUUUUGGUAUACAGGCGCUGCAUGGCUGUCGUCAGUUCGUGGCGUGAGCUGUUGGGUUAAGUCCUAGAACGAACGCAACCCUCUUGAUAUGUGUAUAUUUUUUAGUAUACCUUAUCAUACUGCCAGUGACAUACGGGAGGAAGGUGAGGAUGACGUCAAGUCCGCAUGGCCCUUAUGGGUUGGGCUACACACGUGCUACAAUGGCGGAAGCAAAAGGUGGCAAUAUGGUGACAUGGAGCAAAUCCUUAAAAGCCGUCGUAGUUCGGAUUGUUCUCUGCAACUCGAGAACAUGAAGAUGGAAUCGCUAGUAAUCGUAGAUCAGCAUGCUACGGUGAAUUUGUAUCUAAGCCUUGUACACACCGCCCGUCACAUAAUGGGAGCGAGAUCUGCACAAAGUAUUGUAUGGGUAUAUAUACAUAUGUCUAUUUUGUUAUGCAUAAGAUGUAUAUUUUAUAGGAUAGCACUGUAGGUAUUGUGACUGAUAUGAAGUCGAAACAAGGUAGCCGUAGGGGGAACCUGCGGCUGGAU
RNAcentral lists this ribosomal RNA (707 nucleotides) under uncultured Micromonas. RNAcentral describes it as "partial Bacterial small subunit ribosomal RNA". It matches the Rfam family "Bacterial small subunit ribosomal RNA", at positions 836 to 1523 of the family's 1533-position model. The record is from RNAcentral. Lineage: Eukaryota; Viridiplantae; Chlorophyta; Mamiellophyceae; Mamiellales.